GCAUCCGUAGCCGGCUGUUCAAGUUUCCGGUUAAAUCCACACGUUUAACGUAUGGGCUGCCGGAAAUACUGUUCAGCUAGGGAGUGGGAGAGGUGGACGGUACUCGGUAGGAAGGGGUAAAAUCCUUUGAUCUAUUGAUGACCACCUGUGGCGAAGGCGGUCCACCAGAACACGUUCGACGGUGAGGGAUGAAAGCUGGGGGAGCAAACCGGAUUAGAUACCCGGGUAGUCCCAGCUGUAGACGAUGCAGACUCGGUGAUGCAUUGGCUUGUGGCCAGUGCAGUGCCGCAGGGAAGCCGUUAAGUUUGCCGCCUGGGAAGUACGUACGCAAGUAUGAAACUUAAAGGAAUUGGCGGGGGAGCACAAGCC
RNAcentral lists this ribosomal RNA (369 nucleotides) under uncultured Nitrososphaerota archaeon. RNAcentral's name for it is "bacterial SSU rRNA". It matches the Rfam family "Archaeal small subunit ribosomal RNA", at positions 515 to 884 of the family's 1478-position model. Lineage: Archaea; Thermoproteati; Nitrososphaerota. The record is from RNAcentral.